RNAcentral lists this long non-coding RNA (335 nucleotides) under Suricata suricatta (meerkat). Its description in RNAcentral is "lncRNA (ENSSSUG00005017612.1)". Lineage: Eukaryota; Metazoa; Chordata; Mammalia; Carnivora; Herpestidae. The record is from RNAcentral.
UGCCUGGCGGACAACUGUAUAUAAAGCUUCUUUAUCUUUUUGAGUCGUAUGAGUGGGUGGACAUUGGUAAUAAUGGGGAACAGAGAAUGAUGAACUUAGGAGGCUCAUGAGAAGAUGUAUAGGAGAAGGCAUACAUCCUGCAAGGAUAUCACGGUUCCUGAGAGGAACCUUACAAGAAGGAAAACCACAAGGGAAGUUGUAAAGAUGGCUGGAGCUGCACCAUGGAGGCCCUUGUUCAUCAUGUUUUCAUGUUUAGACUUAGCCAGCUAUAAAGGAGGAUCUACUGGAGCUUGGAUCUCAACCCAGGUGAUUCCAUGAGAGCUGGUGAGAGCUGG